RNAcentral lists this ribosomal RNA (230 nucleotides) under uncultured bacterium. RNAcentral's name for it is "partial 16S ribosomal RNA". It matches the Rfam family "Bacterial small subunit ribosomal RNA", at positions 562 to 791 of the family's 1533-position model. The record is from RNAcentral.
AAAGCGCACGUAGGCGGCUUUUUAAGUCAGAGGUGAAAGCCCGGGGCUCAACUCCGGAACUGCCUUUGAGACUGGAAGGCUUGAACGUCGGAGAGGUGAGUGGAAUUCCGAGUGUAGAGGUGAAAUUCGUAGAUAUUCGGAAGAACACCAGUGGCGAAGGCGGCUCACUGGACGACUGUUGACGCUGAGGUGCGAAAGCGUGGGGAGCAAACAGGAUUAGAUACCCCGGU